Molecule: transfer RNA, 402 nt
Filed under: uncultured marine alpha proteobacterium
Lineage: Bacteria; Pseudomonadati; Pseudomonadota; Alphaproteobacteria
Description: 16S-23S intergenic spacer region
Rfam family: tRNA (bases 101-174)
Source: RNAcentral
UCUAAGGAUGAAUGAAAGUAAAAUUUCAUUCUAAAUAAUAUACACAGGUAAUGUUGACCGUCCUCAUUUCUCUUCUUAAAAUAGUGUUACUCUUGCGUAGGGGCCGGUAGCUCAGUUGGUUAGAGCACACCCUUGAUAAGGGUGGGGUCGAAAGUUCGAGUCUUUCUCGGCCCACCAAUUUAGAUAUCAUGGGGGAUUAGCUCAGCUGGGAGAGCGCCUGAUUUGCAUUCAGGAGGUCAGCGGUUCGAUCCCGCUAUCCUCCACCAAAAACACUUAGUUAUAAAAAAUUGUAAAUAAAAAAUAAUUAAUAUCAAUAUCUAUAUCCGAACAUUAGUAAUGUUAUUAGCUAAUGUUCAAAAUAAAAAUUUGAUUCAACACAGAAUUUUUUUCUGUGCAUAAAUC